Molecule: ribosomal RNA, 198 nt
Filed under: Aplanochytrium stocchinoi
Lineage: Eukaryota; Bigyra; Thraustochytrida; Thraustochytriidae
Description: partial Bacterial large subunit ribosomal RNA
Rfam family: Bacterial large subunit ribosomal RNA
Source: RNAcentral
AAACCGAGGGAGCGUGCUCCUUCGGGGUUGUAGGACCGCAUUUAGAAACCAUCAUCAAGCUGAACCAUCUGGAAAGUUGGACUAUAGGGCGUGAAAGUCGCGUAAGCGUAAAUUGAUGGGGACGAGCGGUAUCCUGAGUAGGGCGGGACCGGAGAAAUCCUGCUUGAAUCUGCCAGCACCAUCUGGUAAGGCUAAAUC